UCUCUGGGGUUUUUUUCUGUUGUGUUUCGUUUUAUUUUUUCCCUUUAUUGAAUUCCUAAGUGCUCCCCAAACCUUCCUCCAUUUGUGUCCUUCUUAGGGG
Molecule: non-coding RNA, 100 nt
Organism: Tinamus guttatus (white-throated tinamou)
Lineage: Eukaryota; Metazoa; Chordata; Aves; Tinamiformes; Tinamidae
Source: RefSeq, a predicted model, not a curated record